Molecule: unclassified non-coding RNA, 379 nt
Filed under: soil metagenome
Description: partial contains 5.8S ribosomal RNA, internal transcribed spacer 2, and large subunit ribosomal RNA
Rfam family: 5.8S ribosomal RNA (bases 1-120)
Source: RNAcentral
GAUGAAGAACGCAGCGAAAUGCGAAAAGUAAUGUGAAUUGCAGAAUUCAGUGAAUCAUCGAAUCUUUGAACGCACAUUGCGCCCGCCAGUAUUCUGGCGGGCAUGCCUGUUCGAGCGUCAUUUCAACCCUCAAGCCCCAGCGGCCUGGUGUUGGGGACCGGCGACCUCGCCCGAGCCCGCCCUCCGGGGCGCGUGCCCGGUGCGUCCGCCGCCCCCGAAAUGAAUUGGCGGCCUCGUCGCGGCCUCCUCUGCGUAGUAGCACAACCUCGCAAGCGGGAGCGCGACGCGGCCACUGCCGUAAAACGCCCAACUUUUUUAGAGUUGACCUCGGAUCAGGUAGGAAUACCCGCUGAACUUAAGCAUAUCAAUAAGCGGAGGA